AGCUCCAAUAGCGUAUAUUAAAGUUGUUGCAGUUAAAAAGCUCGUAGUUGGAUUUGUGGUGUGUCCUGUCGGUCCGUGGGCUCAGCCUGCGUGUCUGUACGGGUCUGCCUUUCAUGGGACUGUUGGCUUUGUGGCAUUAGGUUGUCGCAUUGUUGAUGCCCAUCUUUUACUGUGAAAAAAUUAGAGUGUUCAAAGCAGGCUUAUGCCGUUGAAUAUAUUAGCAUGGAAUAAUGAUAUAGGACCUUGGUACUAUUUUGUUGGUUUGCGCACUGAGGUAAUGAUUAAUAGGGACAGUUGGGGGUAUUCGUAUUCCAUUGUCAGAGGUGAAAUUCUUGGAUUUUUGGAAGACGAACUACUGCGAAAGCAUUUACCAAGGAUGUUUUCAUUAAUCAAGAACGAA
RNAcentral lists this ribosomal RNA (400 nucleotides) under phytoplankton environmental sample. RNAcentral's name for it is "partial small subunit ribosomal RNA". It matches the Rfam family "Eukaryotic small subunit ribosomal RNA", at positions 587 to 987 of the family's 1831-position model. The record is from RNAcentral.